This 497-nucleotide ribosomal RNA is filed under the name uncultured bacterium. RNAcentral's name for it is "partial 16S ribosomal RNA". It matches the Rfam family "Bacterial small subunit ribosomal RNA", at positions 28 to 507 of the family's 1533-position model. The record is from RNAcentral.
GAUGAACGCUGGCGGCGUGCCUAAUACAUGCAAGUCGAGCGAACAGACGAGGAGCUUGCUCCUCUGACGUUAGCGGCGGACGGGUGAGUAACACGUGGAUAACCUACCUAUAAGACUGGGAUAACUUCGGGAAACCGGAGCUAAUACCGGAUAAUAUAUUGAACCGCAUGGUUCAAUAGUGAAAGACGGUUUUGCUGUCACUUAUAGAUGGAUCCGCGCCGCAUUAGCUAGUUGGUAAGGUAACGGCUUACCAAGGCAACGAUGCGUAGCCGACCUGAGAGGGUGAUCGGCCACACUGGAACUGAAACACGGUCCAGACUCCUACGGGAGGCAGCAGUAGGGAAUCUUCCGCAAUGAGCGAAAGCCUGACGGAGCAACGCCGCGUGAGUAAUGAAGAUCUUCGGAUCGUAAAACUCUGUUAUUAGGGAAGAACAAAUGUGUAAGUAACUAUGCACGUCUUGACGGUACCUAAUCAGAAAGCCACGGCUAACUACGUG